This 803-nucleotide ribosomal RNA is filed under the name uncultured bacterium. RNAcentral's name for it is "bacterial SSU rRNA". It matches the Rfam family "Bacterial small subunit ribosomal RNA", at positions 651 to 1455 of the family's 1533-position model. The record is from RNAcentral.
UCAGAGGGAGGUAGAAUNCCACGUGUAGCAGUGAAAUGCGUAGAGAUGUGGAGGAAUACCGAUGGCGAAGGCAGCCUCCUGGGAUAACACUGACGUUCAUGCCCGAAAGCGUGGGUAGCAAACAGGAUUAGAUACCCUGGUAGUCCACGCCCUAAACGAUGUCGAUUAGCUGUUGGGCAGCAUGACUGCUUAGUAGCGAAGCUAACGCGUGAAAUCGACCGCCUGGGGAGUACGGUCGCAAGAUUAAAACUCAAAGGAAUUGACGGGGACCCGCACAAGCGGUGGAUGAUGUGGAUUAAUUCGAUGCAACGCGAAGAACCUUACCUGGUCUUGACAUGUACGGAACCCUCCAGAGACGGAGGGGUGCCUUCGGGAGCCGUAACACAGGUGCUGCAUGGCUGUCGUCAGCUCGUGUCGUGAGAUGUUGGGUUAAGUCCCGCAACGAGCGCAACCCUUGUCAUUAGUUGCCAUCAUUAAGUUGGGCACUCUAAUGAGACUGCCGGUGACAAGCCGGAGGAAGGUGGGGAUGACGUCAAGUCCUCAUGGCCCUUAUGACCAGGGCUUCACACGUCAUACAAUGGUCGGUACAGAGGGUAGCCAAGCCGCGAGGUGGAGCCAAUCUCACAAAACCGAUCGUAGUCCGGAUUGCACUCUGCAACUCGAGUGCAUGAAGUCGGAAUCGCUAGUAAUCGCAGGUCAGCAUACUGCGGUGAAUACGUUCCCGGGUCUUGUACACACCGCCCGUCACACCAUGGGAGUGGGGGAUACCAGAAGUAGGUAGGGUAACCGCAAGGAGCCCGCUU